Molecule: long non-coding RNA, 612 nt
Organism: Pistacia vera
Lineage: Eukaryota; Viridiplantae; Streptophyta; Magnoliopsida; Sapindales; Anacardiaceae
Exons: 3
Source: RefSeq, a predicted model, not a curated record
GUGAUAACGAUUGAACCAGGAAUCUACAUCCCACUUUCGUUUGAUGGUCCAGAGAGGUUUCGAGGUAUUGGCAUAAGGAUUGAGGAUGAGGUUCUCAUUACAGAAACAGGCUAUGAGGUUCUUACAGGGUCAUUGCCAAAGGAAAUUAAACAUCUGGAAUCGUUGCUAAAUAAUUUCAGCCAAGGAUUUGGAAUGGAGAGGGCGCUGUAACGUGAAAGCUGGAAAAUUCAGGAAGAGUGAAUUAUUGGUGAAAGAAAUUUACUUAUACAAGCAUCUAUCUUAUCAACAGAUUGGUUGAUUUCUUGUGCUUUAAGAAUUGUCCUUGAUUUUGGGAUUAAUUUUUAGCCUAAUUCUUCUAUAAAUUCCUUCCAACUAAUACUAUUACCUUCCCUUGCUUCAAUUCAAUUCAAUGCAUUUACUGAAAUUGCCAAAUAAGUAAUGAAGUCCAAACAUUGUUCUUAGGUUUGGUAUAUGCAAAAAGUUUGGCUCCCCUCCAACUAUUUAUAGUUUACCAACCUGUACAACAUAUUUACUUUGUCUACCAUCCAAGAUCAUAACACCAAACUGAAUUGAAUCAAAAGAGUGGACAAUUUAUGAAAAACUUUUACUCUU